AAAAACCCUUUAAAAC
Molecule: small RNA, 16 nt
Filed under: Arabidopsis thaliana (thale cress)
Lineage: Eukaryota; Viridiplantae; Streptophyta; Magnoliopsida; Brassicales; Brassicaceae
Description: ATSL132210
Source: RNAcentral